Molecule: ribosomal RNA, 505 nt
Filed under: uncultured bacterium
Lineage: Bacteria
Description: partial 16S ribosomal RNA
Rfam family: Bacterial small subunit ribosomal RNA
Source: RNAcentral
GACGAACGCUGGCGGCGUGCCUAAUACAUGCAAGUAGAACGCACAGUUUAUACCGUAGCUUGCUACACCAUAGACUGUGAGUUGCGAACGGGUGAGUAACGCGUAGGUAACCUGCCUGGUAGCGGGGGAUAACUAUUGGAAACGAUAGCUAAUACCGCAUAAUAUUGAUUAUUGCAUGAUAAUUAAUUGAAAGGUGCAAUUGCACCACUACCAGAUGGACCUGCGUUGUAUUAGCUAGUAGGUGAGGUAACGGCUCACCUAGGCGACGAUACAUAGCCGACCUGGGAGGGUGAGCAGCCACCCUGGGACUGAGACACGGCCCAGACGCCCUCGGGAGGCAGCAGGAGGGAAUCUUCGGCAAUGGGCGAAAGUCUGACCGAGCAACGCCGCGGGAGUGAAGAAGGUUUUCGGGUCGUAAAGCUCUGUUGUAAGGGAAGAACGGGCGUGAGAGUGGAAAGUUCACACUGUGACGGUAUCUUACCAGAAAGGGACGGCUAACUACGUG